Long non-coding RNA from Osmerus eperlanus (European smelt), 2056 nucleotides. RefSeq lists it as uncharacterized. The transcript is spliced from 3 exons. The record is from RefSeq and is a predicted model, not a curated record. Lineage: Eukaryota; Metazoa; Chordata; Actinopteri; Osmeriformes; Osmeridae.
CAAGAGGGAGAGAAAAACAGGACCAGAGAACAGUUGCUCUAUUGUGUCCAUCCACAUUUUGCAAGUUUUAUAUAAGAGCAUGGUUUGCUGAAAUAAUCAACCAACAAACUAUUUACAUCUUAACCCUUCACCAGAGCUUGGUAUAAACCACAAUCCUCCUAUCUUCAAUGGAAGUUCUGCAGUGACUGUUCUGUUUGUCAGAGUUUUGAUACAGAGGGCUCUUUAACAUCUUAUGGCACCCUCUGAAUGAAUCUCAUUCUCCCUGAAACUGGAGCUAGUCGUCGGAAACCCUGAGUUCCGAUGGUGGCGUCCACUCUGAAGGUGAUACCCUGCUAGCCCAGAGAUUCACACACUGGUGACAGGGCUCAGACUGGACCGUGACAGGUCGGCAGGAGAGGAAGGGGUCAUGAGAAAGAAAAACAACAUGGACGUGCCAAGACCUGUACUAUAACGCUUCUCUGGAUUAAAGAGUGACAAACAAAUAACCUGUUGGGUCGGUAUCUUACUGGAUCCAUCCUGAGGUAAUGAUGGGCCCAGAGCCAAGAGAGCCUGGAGGGAAACUGUCAGCCAUUUUGAGUUUAGAAAAGAAAUACGGAAGAAAAUGGCCUCCCAGUUUGGCUUGAAGGUCUAAUCAACGUUCUCAAUCUUCCACGCUGACAUAUCUCUUCAAGAAAGGGUAAUUUGCAGAAACCCAGUUACCGUGCUGACAGUGAAUGGAAGACGCUGGAAACACAGUGAGCCAACAGAUGAAGGGAGAGGGACAGAGAGUGGAGGCCGAAAACCGAGCCCUGCCCUGGAUGAAAUCACUUACUGAGACGUUGAGCAACACUGGCCCUGAUGAACUGAAACCGCUUGGAUAAAAACAUCAGAAGUACAUUGUACAACUCUGAAUCGUCUGACUGGGAGUCUCUCCUGACUCUCGGUUGAGAGCAGACUAUCUGCUCGGAUCUUGGCCGGAGAUGAAAGUGCUGGAACAUGGAGGGGCCGAGGCCUCAGCUGAGGGCUCAUGAAGGCUGUGCUCUGUGAUCUUAUUAUUUAGCUCUGUGUGACCCGGCCCUCCGUUCCAUUCCACGUCUCUCUGGCCCGGGCUUAGCACAUGGCUAAGCUGCUGACUUCCAGACACACACACGCACACACACACACACGCACACCUCAGGCAAAACAGGGCCGUAUCUGGGAGUUGUCUGGCCGGUUCUCGUUUUUCUUUUCUUUCUUUUGUACCCUGACACACAAGUGCAUGCGCGUACGCCUUGACCCUGGGUCCUGCCCUUCUGAAGUCUGACACACUUAGAGGCACGCUCCACACCCUCCGAGGGCUGUAUGCUGUCGCACAGACACACACACACACAGACACACGCACAGACACACGCAGUCAUGCAUUGCUGACUCACAUGUAGUUGCAUGCGGAAACUGCUAUAGUGGGACACUGGUACAGAUACUCUCACAGUGGAAGUGAGACACCACAUGAUACCCUAAUUGUUUAUGUUGCAGAUUCCACACAAUACAAUUCCAAAGUGUGAAGUUUCACUAGCCUACAUUUACAGGCACACGCAACCUUUAAAACCAGCAGGAUGGGUUGUGCGCGAUCUUCACCCUAUCUGAUAACCAAACUUCUUUUGUGCAGCCGAGUUAAUGUUUCUCAAAGACACACUUAGAACACAAGCCUCACUCCUGUGUCCUUUGUCCCUUGCUGCAAGUCGUUCUGCUGAAGGUGCCCUCGUAAAAUAUGGAUUCAAGAUUUACUCACGUUGGCUGAUACCGCUACUGUAAUCAGAGAAGGGAAUCAUGAUACGGCAUGUGUGUGUGCAUGAAGGCGUACCACAAGGUACAAUCUGAGGCAGGCUUCAAGGCCAAAAAACAUAGAAGAGGCAGACCUAUGAUCGUGAAAUGUGUGUGCCUAUGUAUAAAGAAGGUGUCAAUUGAACUUCUUUGAGAAAUGUACAUGUUAAUGUGUAUUAUGGAAACUAAAACAGAAACUAUACAGUGCAAUACACAAUGGUUUCAUACAUGUGUAUGUGUAUGUGUGCAGCAUUAUGUAACGUUUGUCUCAUGUCUA